Molecule: ribosomal RNA, 460 nt
Filed under: uncultured bacterium
Lineage: Bacteria
Description: partial 16S ribosomal RNA
Rfam family: Bacterial small subunit ribosomal RNA
Source: RNAcentral
CCUACGGGAGGCAGCAGUGAGGAAUAUUGGUCAAUGGACGCAAGCCUGAACCAGCCAUGCCGCGUGCAGGAAGACGGCUCUACGAGUUGUAAACUGCUUUUGUACGAGGGUAAAUCCCGAUACGUGUAUCGGGUUGAAAGUAUCGUACGAAUAAGGAUCGGCUAACUCCGUGCCAGCAGCCGCGGUAAUACGGAGGAUUCAAGCGUUAUCCGGAUUUAUUGGGUUUAAAGGGUGCGUAGACGGUUCGAUAAGUUAGUGGUGAAAUUCCGGGGCUCAACUCCGGCACUGCCUCUGAUACUGGCGGGCUAGAGUUUAGUUGCGGUAGGCGGAAUGUAUGGUGUAGCGGUGAAAUGCAUAGAGAUCAUACAGAACACCGAUUGCGAAGGCAGCUUACCAAACUACGACUGACGUUGAGGCACGAAAGCGUGGGGAGCAAACAGGAUUAGAUACCCGAGUAGUC